AAAUAGUCAUUUUUUUAAUCAUGUACUUUUAAUCUUUGACGCACUUUAUGACGAAAAGUUAAUAAUCAUCAAAUCAAGAAAUGUUGGGUUAUAAAAACUACAAGUAUGAACAAUGUAUGGACACAAACAUUUUAUUUAUUCAAACUUUUUUAAACAGUAUUUCUAACUGCUUGAAUUAUUAUUUUACAUUUAUCUAACGUCUACUUACACAAAUCAAUGUCACAUAUUUCGGUGACAAUUUAAAAAAGACCCAUCGCAUGUACUACAGAGUAACUUAAAAAUAACAGAUUACAUUCUGAUGGAGAUUUAAAAUACAGCAUGAACAAAUUCCUUUUCUGUUAUCACAGAAAGAAUAUUAAUACCAAUUUUACAAAAUAAAAUUGUUAUGCUUUUAUGUUCAUAUUUUCAUGAAUGAUUUUUGGACAUGAGUGCUAUCAGCAACUUCGCAAGUCAUAACAGGGACAUAAACUUAGCUUGAAGCUCUGUCCAAAUUUUCUUUGACAAAAAAAAAAAAAACCUGUUGUAUGCCCAUAUAUAGUCAAGAUAUGCCUAUAUGUGGUCAUGAUGUGAUGUCUUCAUGACCAUAUUUAGGAAUGUCCUUGUUUUUUCUCAACAAAAACUUGAUAGUCGGGACAAGGCCUCAGAUUCCUUUUAGCUUGUCUACUAAAACUAUAAAUUUUUUGUCAAGAUUGCCUUUGACAAAAAAAACCUGUUGUAUGCCCAUAUAUAGUCAUGAUGUGCCUAUAUAUGGAUUUUGUCACAUAAAAUGUGAGUGGUCUGAACAGGGGUUUAGAUUCCUUUGUAAAGCUUGUCUGCCGAGAAUUUUCUUCAGGUUAACUAUGGCUUGGUGUACAGUAUAGAAAAGAACCGUAUGCUAAAUUGUACAUCAAUCAUAUUAUAAACAUACAAUAGUAUGAAAAAAAAUAAAUAAAUAACAAAAAAUACAGCCUCUUCCAAAAACUUAAAAAAAAACUCACAUUUCAUCAUUAGACCACUUUAAAAUUAAUUUCCUUUUACAUUUUAAUGUACAUGGACAAAAGAAAGUUGAUCUUAAAUUAGAAGAAUUGGUGCAAUAUGUAACUAAAAGAAACACCAGUACAAAAAGUCAUGAUUGUACUAUGACAGCUUUACUUUACAGGAUGCCUAUUAAUAAUACCAUCAAACAUUUAAACUAUGAGUUUGACAGACGGCCAUUUUGAUUUUGUAAAGUUUGCCACCUUCUGCCUAAUCCCUCGUCCAAUUAAAAUUGUACAAACAAUAUGAUUCAAUGGUUGAAAAACAAUAUAUUCAUGACAGAAAAUACAUUCUUAUACUCGAUGUGAUAAUAUUAAUUAAAUCAUUAAAACUUUAUCAUAAAAAUAUUUGAAUACUGGGUAUAUAUUAAAUUGUCAAAUGUUUUUAGUUUUUUUCCGAAUGAUUCUAAAAAUUCAGUUAUGUAGAAGGCAACUAAUUUUCCACCUAUAAAUAUUAAUAUAAGGAUUUACAAUGGGUAAAGGAUUGUUUGUUCUAUCUAUUCUAUAUUUACAACACAUGAUUAAUUUAUUCAUACAAACCGAAGAUUAAUGCUGUAGGGCAUAAUUAUUAACACAAUGAUGCAUAUCCACUAUCCAAGUUUUUGUAUGUUAGACUUGACAUUGUUUGAAUGUUAUCAAUUUGCAAAUAAACAAGGAUGGGCACAUACUGGGCACAUACUCUAGUCUCCAUUCUCUGUUAGCUUAACAAUGCAACACCAGCUUUUUUGCAUUGUGCUUUUCAUGGAAUCCGUGUAGCGUGUGCCUGGUAUAAUAGACUGACUCAUUUUUUUUUAUCAGAUAUAUCUGGCACAAGCAUACAAAAUAGGAUAAAGUCUGAUCAGAUAUUUUCUGAAUCUGAUGGCAUAGGCCCAGCAUUAAAGUAGUUCAUCCAGUUCAAAGUUCAUCACUGACUGAAUCAAUUUGCUUGAUCAGAUAUAUAUGGUACAAGCAUACACUAUUUGAUAAAGUCUGAUCAAACAGAGACAAAAAUCUGAUAUCAUAUGCCCAGCUUUAAAAGCAAUUCCAAUUUUUUUCCAGUUAAAAGUUCAAAGUUCAUCAAUCAAUGGAUUUUUUUGAUCAGACACAUAUGGUACAAGGAUACACUAUCAGAUAAAGUCAAAUCAAACAUUUUCUGAAUCUGACAGACAAAUAUCUUACGGCAUAUGCCCUGCUUUAAAGCAGUUCAAAGUUCAUCACUCUUUAAAUUCAAUUGAUAACUCAAGAUAAAAAUGAACAUUUGUUUGCCUCUUCAUGCCCACUUCAGUUCUAAUAUCUAAAUUGUUUGAAAUAAAAAUCACUAUCAAUUCAUUUUGGCUAAAAUUCAUCCAUUUAGUGUAAAAAUAUCUGACAAUUUUCUAUUAACACAUACCAACAUGGUUCAAUUAAAGUUGAUAAAAAUCACCCAGUAUACAUUUAUGAAGACAUUGUAUCCCUGCUUAGAGCGUAGGCAACUUUCAAAAUGAGAUCUUUAACAGAUCUGAAAAGACAAGUACAGUACUACAAAUAAAUUGCGAUGGUUUUGUCUCAUAACGUUAAGACACGCCAAAGGCCAUGUAGAAUUCUGAAGAACACAGUUUUUCGAACUCUAGGUUAAAAAUGCUCUUAGGUCAAUUACACGGUCAAGCAGAGAAUAACUGGAUAUUUUUAGAUUUGUUUUAAAAAUUUAGAUGAUUUCCAAAUCCAAAUAUCAGAAAAUUUUAGGCUCUGAUGUAAUAUAAAUGCAAUCUCUUUGUUGUAGGCUAUAAUGAACAAACUUAGAUUUCUUAACUAAAGUAUACAUUAGCAGCUACAAUUUGAUCAUAUUGUUUUAUGCUCUGAUCUGUCUAAUAAAAGAUUUUUUCCCCUCAUAGAAAUGUAGGCCGAUUUAAGAACACAAACAUGAGUAGCCUGCAUUUCUCAAAUUAGCAGCAACAAUUUAAUAAAUUUUAAAGGUAUUGAAGAUUACGGAUGGUGGCUUCUUAAUAUAUGGACAAUUAUGGUAGAAUCUAAAUUUAGUGCUACUAACACUGGAAUUUAUUAUCCCCACGAUCCAUUUGCCUUCUUAAAUUAACAUUAUGUAUCCUCCUUGUUAUGUACUAAUGUGGGGGCCUAUGUCAAAUGUUUGACCUAUGUAACAUUGCUAUGAAACUAUGCAAGGCAGCUGCCUUAUGGGUAGCAGACUAUAAAUUCAAAGAAGUCCAGUACCACCAGCAUUUAAAUCACUUAGCCACGUUUCUGUCCUACAACCAACCAAGUACAUAUUUUAUUUCUGCCUGUACUCCAGUAAUAACUCACUACGGAGAAAAACACAGCAAUUUAAUGAGCCAAGUAUGACAUUUAUUUUCGUUUAAUGAGCAAUAUCAUUUUUUUAUUUUUGCUUUCUUUAAUUGCUGAUGUAUAUAAAUACAUUCCUGGAGCUCCGGAGCCUGAUCUUUGGCCGUCUAUGGAUUUUAUGUGCAACUUUCGCUUUCAAUUACAAGCUAUUUAUACAUCAUAAUUACUCGUUUUAAUCAUGUGCAAGACUACGUUCGGUACAGUACUUCUCUCUGGAGGCCGCGUGUUCAGUGAUAUGCGCAGAUAAAUCUUAAUAUUCUGUUCAAACCCUGUAAUAAUGUAAAUAUCAUAUCCAUAACACUGGUACUGAGGUGAGGUUUGAAUAAAGAAUUUGAGGCCUUUCUUUCUCUCUACUAUAUUCAACAGUGCUAUAGUAAAUUUACUUCCUAUAAACAUGAAAUUAUAUUAUUAUAUUAUGAUAUUAUUGUUGUUAUGAAUAUUACGGUUCAAAAGAUAAGUUCACCCAUAGAAAGCGUGGCAGGGCCUGAAUCAAAAUUAAAGUUUUCUCAAUUAUUUAGAAAAUCUAAUUUCUUAAUCUGUAUGGAUGAGUCAUAUAUUUUUCUUAGGAUGAGUUAUGGUUGAAGAACCAAGUGUAUCACUAGCAGAUAUGGCACUGAAGAGCGGUGUUCAUAUCAAGGCAAAAAUGACAGGGUCCAAAUCAAUAUUUUAUUCACUAUUGAAAUCUAUUUUUCAGUAUAUCCAAAUAAAGUAGAACCUCUGGGGAGACUUUUUCAGGCACAAAAUGAGGGAAAGUGUAUGUUUUAUCACUAGACUACUCUAAUACAGGAAACACCUGUAUUAAAGGGACACUUUUUCAGUCCCAAAAAGUGUCCCCUUACCAGAGGUUCUUACUGUACCACUGGUAUUACUUGGGGUGAUAUUUGAUUCUAGGGAAAGGCUAGGUAUUUACAUCUUUGGCCAAUUUUUCAAGAUGUACACUGCACAAUUAUGUGGCACUUAGAUUCAAAUUUAGUAGUACAGUUCUUGUUUUUAUUAAUAAGAAAUUGAUAAAUAAUUGUCUUACAUUCAUAAUCUAGACAUGAUCUGUGCAUAACAUGAUGAAAUACAACCAUCGAAUGAGGUUGGAUAGAUAAAAUAUUGGAUAAGCACUCCAAAAUCAAACAAAUAGGAAUCAAAAAAUGUUUCUAAUUUGGAUUU
Molecule: long non-coding RNA, 4484 nt
Organism: Anneissia japonica
Lineage: Eukaryota; Metazoa; Echinodermata; Crinoidea; Comatulida; Comatulidae
Exons: 2
Source: RefSeq, a predicted model, not a curated record